Molecule: unclassified non-coding RNA, 2548 nt
Filed under: Hevea brasiliensis (rubber tree)
Lineage: Eukaryota; Viridiplantae; Streptophyta; Magnoliopsida; Malpighiales; Euphorbiaceae
Source: RNAcentral
AGAUAAUAUCCUUCGUCGGUAUAAAAAUCGAAAAUGGAAGGCCAAGCGACAAUGCGGACGCUUUUAGCCGCCGGUGGAACCUAAGCUUAAGAUUCUUCUCCUCCAUUAAAUUGUACACGAAUAUCAGAAUAUUAAAUAAGAGAAUCUCGAUUCUCAAUCUGCCCUCUCAAAUUCCUCGAAUUUUCUCGACUCUCUGAAAAGUUGUCGGUCCGGUGGCGUUUCGCGGAAGCGAAGUUUCUCCGGAUCAAAUUCCAAUUAUCAUGUAAAAACAUUUUCCAUACUCUCUCUUCUCUGUUUUUAUUCUUUUUUGGAACUUUUUAGUUUCUCCCAGAUUUUGAAGCCGAAGAGUUCCCAAAGAAAGACAUGUUGUGUAGGAUGGUACUGCUGCCCCGGAAGAAGAAGACCGGUACGGUGCCGGUUUACUUGAAUGUCUAUGAUUUGACUCCCAUUAAUGGCUAUGCUUACUGGCUUGGCCUCGGGAUUUACCAUUCUGGUGUGCAAGUUCAUGGUGUGGAAUAUGGUUUUGGUGCACACGACCACCCAAGCACAGGUAUCUUUGAGGUUGAACCAAGGCAAUGCCCUGGUUUCACUUUCAGAAAAUCAAUAUUGAUUGGAAGAACCGAUCUUGGUCCCAAAGAAGUUCGUUCGUUCAUGGAGAAGCUAGCUCAAGACUAUUCUGGGAACAGUUACCAUCUUAUCACCAAGAACUGCAACCACUUCUGCAAUGAUGUGUGUAUCAAGUUGACUGGGAAAACAAUCCCUCGUUGGGUUAAUCGUCUUGCUCGUUUAGGUAAUACAUUAUUAAAGUUUGCUUUGAUCAUUGAAAAUUCAUUAUUUUGCUCUGUUUUAACUGUGCAAAAGCUGAUUACAAUGAAGUAUGAAAAGUUGAAGUAUUAAGCAUGUAGAAAAAGGUGUGUUGCAAUGGCAACUUUUACUUCAUUGCAGCUGCUGCUGCCUCUAUUCUUAGCACGGAUUCAUUAUGCCAUUGACCUGAAAUAUUUAUGCAGUCACCAGAUGGUGGCCAAAUGCUCCUGUUGUAGUACUGUUCCCUCUAAUCAACGGCUUCCAAGAAAUGGUUCUGUCAUCCGCACCCUCACUCGAAGUGGUGGUUUUUCCCUCUGGUGUCACAAUUUUAGUAGAGAUUUCUAGUUUGCCAGCCCCACAAUCUGCUUACCUCCUCUUUCAUUUUAUUAACUCUCAUUUCAUUUUUCCCUUUCUUCUUCUAUUGCAAGGGCAUCUGGUCCUUGGAUAAACUGAAUUAUGCUAAUUAGGAAUAGAAAAUGAAAGGGAUAUGCUAUUGGAUUGGGUUGCCAAUAGAGAGUAUAAUAUGGCUCAUCACAUUGAUUUGCUUAAUAUAAUAUACGUGUAAAUUUCAGUUUAUUGAGUGGUGUGUGGCUGUAUGCCCACAGAAGUAAUCCCAAAAAAUUAUGGGCCAUAUUCAACAAUUAGGGAGGAGUUUAAGACUUAUAACUGGACAUUAUUAGGAAACCUUUCAACAAUGCUUCAAGCAUUUAUUUAUUUAUUUAUUUUCCCCCUAUAAACCUGCUGUGGAAGUCCUUUUUCUCCUAACUAGUGAACUCGACAUGAUUUUGUUCUAUUCUUUGUUUUUAUGAAUUUAUAGGUUUUCUUUGCAACUGUGUUCUGCCUGCGGAAUUGAAUGAAACCAGAGUUCGUCAAGUUAAAUCACAAACUAACGGGCAAGAGGGAGAUAAGAAGAAAUUGAGAAGCCAUUCAAGUAGGUUAUUAUGUACUUCUUCUGCCCUACCUUCUCCUUCAUUGACACCCUGCUCCUCAGGUUCUGGUAGCAGAAGUAAUAGACAAAGAUGUCACCUUCCUCAGACACUAAUUCAUGACACUUCUACCUCAUCAUUAAGCUUGAAGCUUUAAUGGGAUCCAGUUUUUCAAACUUCUUUAGGCUGACAGAUUUUUCCUUUUUUUUUUUUUUUUUUUCUUUGCUUUCUUUUCUUGGUGGAGAUUUCUCGUUCUUGUUUUAGUUGGUGGGGUUGCUGCGGAAAGAUCCCAAAGCUUUGAUGGCUGCUGCUCUCAGUAUGUAUUGAUGGUAUGCUGCUGCUGCAAGUGCUCCAACGAAAGGACCAACCCAGAAAAUCCAAUGAUCAUCCCAGGCUUUGUCAUUGUUGUAGAUAACUGCAGCACCAAAGCUCCUAGCAGGAUUAAUACCAGUACCAGUGAUGGGGAUUGUUGCCAAGUGGACCAUGAACACAGCAAACCCAAUUGGAAGAGGAGCCAACACAGGGACGUGAGAGUCACGUGCACUCCUCUUAGGGUCAGUUGCAGAGAAAACAGUGUAGACAAGUACAAAAGUGCCGAUGAUCUCAGCACCCAAAGCAGUGCCUUUGUUGUAGCCAGGUGCCACUGUGUUUGCACCACCUCCGAGGCCAUUAUAUGGAUGCUUCAUAAAUGCCUUCACCAACCCAACACCACAGAUUGCACCCAAGCACUGAGCCACCAUGUAAGCCACUGCCCUAAUCAGUGACACCUUCCUCGCCAAGAAAAGUCCAAAAGUGACCGCUGGGUUAAUAUGACCACC